Molecule: long non-coding RNA, 698 nt
Filed under: Bos taurus (domestic cattle)
Lineage: Eukaryota; Metazoa; Chordata; Mammalia; Artiodactyla; Bovidae
Description: long non-coding RNA NONBTAT017923
Source: RNAcentral
CUUCUGCUUAUCUGUCUGUUUACACUUUCAGCUGUCACUGAAAACAGGAGCACCAUUCUUGGGACAUAAAAAAGGAUACGGAUCUUUUAGAUAAUCGAUAGGUAAAAAUAACAAGUAAAAAGAAAAGCCAGCAGUAAGUGUGGCAUCUAUGGUAUACAGAACCACCAAGGAAAAUGCUCAAAGGAGUUAUUGAGAUAAAAGUGAGGCCAUUGAGGGAAGAGCAAUAGCAAUACAAAAAGAUAAAAGAAGAAAUUUAACAAGAGACCAGGUCUUCUUGAAAGAGUGGCCUUCCUAGGUUGUCUACCUUUUGCUGUCUGAUUAUUCUCUUGUCCUUAGAAGACCAGGCCCAGAGCUGUACACAGCUAGACUCUGCUCUCAGAAAGGUGAUGCUGUCCUGGGAUGCCCCACAGGACCAUCAUCCACACCACAGAUGACAUCCUUCAUUUUACCCUAAACAGAUGAAAUGUUCCCUACAGUAUCAUUUAAGUCCCCACAAGCAGAAGUCAGAGACCUUGGAAUGAGAAAUGUGAUGACUAGUUGGAUGGUUUUCACAUCACAAGCAUUAUGUAUAGUUACAUGAUGGUAUGAGAAAAAUAUCUUGCAUCCGGAUGCCCUGUCCUCACAAUGCCUGUCAUACACUGGAUCUGGAUGUUUCUGGAGCCUCUUGAAGUUGGAGAAGUAUUACAAUAAUUUUUGCA